GUCUCGACACGGUUAAAUGUGCACGCUUCAGUUGCGUGUCUCGAACUGAUUUCUGACUACCCUGCACUCGCUUUGAGUCGAUAAAUAGCCAUGGCACGUGCAAUUCUCUACAAAUAUAUCAACUAUUACAGCCGUAAAAAAUCUAUUGUUGACGAUUUGGAAUAGCAGUAAAAUUUUGCUUCUUGGUUAUUACAGCAGCUUUAUAUAUUCGAUGGAGCAUGUAUGAAAAAGACGAGAACGUAUAUUUCACUGAUGUGGCAGUGUUAUCAAUUACCAUAUGGCACCCAUGAUAAUACCAUGACGUCAAUAGUUUUUUGGCAGUGCAUGAUGGAAAUUCCACAAGAGAAAUAAAUAGAUGAAAGCAACAGGAUUUUUCCUUGUAUCUCAAGAAAAAAACCCCCAACUAGAUGGCAAAGGUGCUUAUGUGUAUGUACAGAAAAAGAUAUAACAAUAUUAUGCUGCCAGAAGCGUGUUGAAAGUAUUCUGUAGCAGGCAGAAACAUGUUAUUCUUGAUUCCUUCAUGGUAUUUAUAAUAAAGGAUUUUUUAAAUGGCAUACGUGCCUGAGUCGACAUAUUCCAAGAACUAUUUUCAAGACUUAAAAGAAAAGCAGAUGAUUUACUUAAUUAUCUGAUGUAGAAUUUGUUAAAGAAUGAAAAACAUUUUUUUUUUGUUGUAAUUUUAGGUUAAUUAUUCAAGGUGAGGUUUAUGAAUAGUUUUAAUUCCAUUAAUCUAUUUCACUUGUCGUCAUUAUCAUAAGUAUCACUGUACACUGGGUGUUCUUAAUCCUGAUAUAACAGUUCUAUAUACAUUUCUUAGAACAAAACACAAAAUGAAAUGAAAUGAAAUGGGGUUGUUUAACGUCCUACCUUUCUGCUCCUAUGCUGGGCUAAUGAAGACGGGCAUACGCCAUACAGUUUGCUAUGAGGGAAAUUUUGCCUGGGCAGCGACACUAUCGCCAACUCUUAUAUCGAAUUCCAACUGCCAAGGGAUCUUUUACGUGCAUUCCAAUGUAUACACGGGACCUCGGUUUUUUGUCUCAUCCGAAGGACUAGACAGCUGUCCUAGUCAGGCCCUCUGUCCUGCAUCACUGACAAGGGGGGAACCACGCCUGAAAAUCUGGAUGAACUUUCUCGGCCAAUGCAGGAAUCGAACACCCGAUCUCCAGGCUAGCGAGCCAGCGUCUUACCCACUUAGCCACAUGAUCCCCCAGAACAAAACACAUUAAAUCUUUAUUCUCAUGGAUAUAAAAUGAAAUGGGGUUUAACGUCCUACUGUUCUGCUCCAAAUAUUCUCAUGGUAAAAAGAAAAAAAUGAAAUGAAACAAGGCUCAACAUCCUACUGUUCUGGUCAGAGACGGGCGAUAUACCAUACAGUGUGCUAUGAGGGAAAUGUUGCCCGUACAACAGCACUAUGGUCUACUCUUAUAUCAAAAUCAAACUGUCAAGGGCUCUUUUACGUGCAUGCAAAUGUGUAGACAGGACCUUGUUUUUUUGUCCCAUCCAUAUGACUAUACCUUGUCCUUUGCCAGGCCCUCCAUCGUGCAUCACUGACAAUGGGGAACCAUGUUGGAAAAUCACGAUGAACUUUUUCGGCCAACUGGGGGACUCGGAGAAAACCCACAAGGUUGGACAGGCAACCCUACUCAUUGUCACAUAUAACCCGGAAAUCGAAACCACGCCAGUUGACUCAGCAACAGACCUUAUGAUACAAAACACGCGAU
Molecule: long non-coding RNA, 1721 nt
Organism: Patella vulgata (common limpet)
Lineage: Eukaryota; Metazoa; Mollusca; Gastropoda; Patellidae
Exons: 3
Source: RefSeq, a predicted model, not a curated record